AGCGAACGCUGGCGGCAGGCCUAACACAUGCAAGUCGAACGGAUCCUUCGGGAUUAGUGGCGGACGGGUGAGGAACACGUGGGAACGUGCCUUUUGGUUCGGAACAACUCAGGGAAACUUGAGCUAAUACCGGAUGUGCCCUUCGGGGAAAGAUUUAUCGCCAUUAGAGCGGCCCGCGUCUGAUUAGCUAGUUGGUGGGGUAAAGGCUCACCAAGGCUACGAUCAGUAGCUGGUCUGAGAGGAUGAUCAGCCACACUGGGACUGAGACACGGCCCAGACUCCUACGGGAGGCAGCAGUGGGGAAUCUUGCGCAAUGGGCGAAAGCCUGACGCAGCCAUGCCGCGUGAAUGAUGAAGGUCUUAGGAUUGUAAAAUUCUUUCACCGGGGACGAUAAUGACGGUACCCGGAGAAGAAGCCCCGGCUAACUUCGUG
This 432-nucleotide ribosomal RNA is filed under the name uncultured bacterium. RNAcentral's name for it is "bacterial SSU rRNA". It matches the Rfam family "Bacterial small subunit ribosomal RNA", at positions 29 to 507 of the family's 1533-position model. The record is from RNAcentral.